This 514-nucleotide ribosomal RNA is filed under the name Fusarium sp. EUF12. Its description in RNAcentral is "eukaryotic LSU rRNA". The stretch from base 168 to 321 matches the Rfam family "5.8S ribosomal RNA". The record is from RNAcentral. Lineage: Eukaryota; Fungi; Ascomycota; Sordariomycetes; Hypocreales; Nectriaceae.
ACCUGCGGAGGGAUCAUUACCGAGUUUACAACUCCCAAACCCCUGUGAACAUACCAAUUGUUGCCUCGGCGGAUCAGCCCGCUCCCGGUAAAACGGGACGGCCCGCCAGAGGACCCCUAAACUCUGUUUCUAUAUGUAACUUCUGAGUAAAACCAUAAAUAAAUCAAAACUUUCAACAACGGAUCUCUUGGUUCUGGCAUCGAUGAAGAACGCAGCAAAAUGCGAUAAGUAAUGUGAAUUGCAGAAUUCAGUGAAUCAUCGAAUCUUUGAACGCACAUUGCGCCCGCCAGUAUUCUGGCGGGCAUGCCUGUUCGAGCGUCAUUUCAACCCUCAAGCCCCCGGGUUUGGUGUUGGGGAUCGGCGAGCCCUUGCGGCAAGCCGGCCCCGAAAUCUAGUGGCGGUCUCGCUGCAGCUUCCAUUGCGUAGUAGUAAAACCCUCGCAACUGGUACGCGGCGCGGCCAAGCCGUUAAACCCCCAACUUCUGAAUGUGACCUCGGAUCAGGUAGGAAUACC